GCAAUUUACAUAAAUAUAGUUUUCAAUGCAUAGCAUAAAUAAAUUCAUAAAUUAUAUGAACUUCGUAUAUAAAGUCAUAAAUCAUUUGUUAUUCUUUUUAUAUCAUGAUUCUUAAUAAUUUUUUCAGACUAAAUAUUAAGAUCACUAUUAUACCCGUGACAUGACCAUAAUCAUGUACCAACUACUAUUAUCCAUUAGCAAGAUCAUAUACUAAUUAUUAUUAUCCAUUGAUAGGGUUGUAUGCCAAUUAUUAUUACCCACU
This 262-nucleotide long non-coding RNA is filed under the name Elaeis guineensis (African oil palm). RNAcentral describes it as "long non-coding RNA (EGUI_LNC040138)". The record is from RNAcentral. Lineage: Eukaryota; Viridiplantae; Streptophyta; Magnoliopsida; Arecales; Arecaceae.